RNAcentral lists this ribosomal RNA (241 nucleotides) under uncultured bacterium. RNAcentral describes it as "partial 16S ribosomal RNA". It matches the Rfam family "Bacterial small subunit ribosomal RNA", at positions 355 to 613 of the family's 1533-position model. The record is from RNAcentral.
UCGGGAAUUUUGGGCAAUGGGCGAAAGCCUGACCCAGCAACGCCGCGUGAGGGAUGAAGUAUUUCGGUAUGUAAACCUCGAAAGAAUGGGAAGAAUAAAUGAUGGUACCAUGUAUAAGCUCCGGCUAACUACGUGCCAGCAGCCGCGGUAAUACGUAGGGAGCAAGCGUUGUUCGGAUUUACUGGGCGUAAAGGGCGCGUAGGCGGCGCGGUAAGUCACUUGGGAAAUCUCUGAGCUUAAC